AGUUACAUUUUGGUCACUCAACUCUAAAAAUAGCUGCAGAGGUCCCCCAAUUAUGUAUGGUGUUGCAUUACUAGUCCCUUUCGUCAAGUCUGUCUAUUUUUCGGUUAAAUCCAUGGGUAAACUUGGAAAUUCAUUCAAAAUAUUUAUUAAAAAAAAUAAAAUAAGGGUUAUUUGUAGAGUGACCUCUGUAGCUAUUUUUGGAGUUGAGUGACCAAGAUGUAACU
RNAcentral lists this microRNA precursor (224 nucleotides) under Prunus dulcis (almond). Its description in RNAcentral is "sRNA ncRNA". The record is from RNAcentral. Lineage: Eukaryota; Viridiplantae; Streptophyta; Magnoliopsida; Rosales; Rosaceae.